Molecule: ribosomal RNA, 220 nt
Filed under: Megalomyrmex sp. IT14.01
Lineage: Eukaryota; Metazoa; Arthropoda; Insecta; Hymenoptera; Formicidae
Also listed under: 2 other names
Description: partial large subunit ribosomal RNA
Source: RNAcentral
GAAUUUAAUAUAAUAGUUUUUAUAGUUUUAUUAGUAAUAAAAUAAAGAAAUUUUUAUAUUUAGUUGGGAGGAUUGUUAAAUAUUAUAAACUUAAAUUAAUAUAAAAAAUAUAAAUUAAUGAAUUUAAGAAUGAUUAAUAUAGUAAAUUAAAUAAGAAUUAAUUACCUUAGGGAUAACAGCAUAAUAUUUUUGGAUAGAUCAUAUUGAUAAAAAUGUUUGU